UCGGUUCCGGUUCACGUCUCGCGACCUCGCAGGCGACCCGGCGACC
Molecule: non-coding RNA, 46 nt
Filed under: unclassified sequences
Description: L31-Actinobacteria ribosomal protein leader
Rfam family: L31-Actinobacteria ribosomal protein leader
Source: RNAcentral